This 1294-nucleotide long non-coding RNA is filed under the name Solanum tuberosum (potato). RNAcentral describes it as "long non-coding RNA (STUB_LNC002206)". The record is from RNAcentral. Lineage: Eukaryota; Viridiplantae; Streptophyta; Magnoliopsida; Solanales; Solanaceae.
ACUUCUUAUGUGCACAAAAGACCAGAAAAAUCAUCAGACAAUCUUCAUUAAUCUAACACAUUAAAAAGAGCUUUAUCAGAUGCUCUUUUGCUUACCAAAUUAAAUGAGCAUGGUAGGUAGAGCUGUCAAUAUGGGCUAGCCCACCCCAUCCGGGCAAACCCAUACAGGCUUUGACAUUUUACGGGUCAGACCAGGCUAGCCCAUUUUUGGUGUGGGCCAGAAAACGGUCGGCCCAACCCACAAGUACGUGGGCUACAGGCUUGCCGGGCCAGCCCACUUUUUUAAAAGUUAUAUAUUUUUUUAUAAUUAUUAAAUUAAAUUAUAAAUUAUAAUUUAAAAAUAUUAUCAUAAAUAUCGACAAAACAAUAUUACAUGGUGUUAAUGUUACUACUUGUUAAUCAAAUCCACAAAUAAAAUUAUCAACACAAAAAAUAUGACAAUAUUCCAACCAUAAAAAUGUAAAAAAUAAACUCCUUAAAAAAUCAUGAAACUUAUGACGUAUCUAACACUUCAUGAAACCUAUGGCGUAUCUAACACUUCAUGAUCAUCUUCAUCAAGCAUAUCUGAAUCAACUUGUGGGAAGGUUGUCUUAACAUCUUCAUUUUCAUAUGCAAUUUAUAUGCGGUUUCAAUUAGUUAAAUAUUAAAAAAUAACUAAAUUGAGAAUUAUAAUAUUUAAAUGUACACAAAAAUAUAUUACCAGUUUGAGAAAAACCAUGUAACCAGUUUUCGAGUAGCAACAAGUGUUUGGACAUUUUCAUGGUGGAUGCAACUUCUAUACUUAGUGAUUUCCUAAAAAACUUUAAAUAGAUUUUGAGUUUGGAUCUCUUUAAUUUUAAAUUUUAAUAUUAUAUUAUAUUUUUUAAUUAAUUUGUAUUAGCCCACGGGCCGGCCCUACCUAUAUUUCUCAAGCCCCACAAAUCAGCAGGCUUAUUCAGGCCGGGCUAAAAAGCCCUUUUUUUAAAUGGGCUCCAAAAAUUUUAGCCCAGCCCUAUUAAAUCCCGGGUUAAGCCAGGCCGGCCCAACAGGCCUAGCCCAUAUUGACGGCUCUAAUGGUAGGUGCCGAAUAAGUUAGAAAGCAAAUGCUGAAAAUAUGGGGCUUAAAUAUGUCUUGUGAGCUUUGGCAAUCAGUCAAGCUGUUAGCCAAGGACGACUUAAACGCCAAAAUUAUGUGUAGAUAAAUUUCGUCUGACAACAACAACAACAUACCCAGUGAAAUCCCACUAAGUGGGGAUCUGGGAGGGUAGAGUAUAUGAAGACCUUACCACUACCUCGUGGAGGUCGUGGAGGUAGAG